Molecule: ribosomal RNA, 394 nt
Filed under: uncultured bacterium
Lineage: Bacteria
Description: partial 16S ribosomal RNA
Rfam family: Bacterial small subunit ribosomal RNA
Source: RNAcentral
CCUACGGGCGGCAGCAGUGAGGAAUAUUGGUCAAUGGACGCAAGUCUGAACCAGCCAUGCCGCGUGCAGGAAGACGGCUCUAUGAGUUGUAAACUGCUUUUGUACGAGGGUAAACGCAGGUACGCGUAUCUGUCUGAAAGUAUCGUACGAAUAAGGAUCGGCUAACUCCGUGCCAGCAGCCGCGGUAAUACGGAGGAUUCAAGCGUUAUCCGGAUUUAUUGGGUUUAAAGGGUGCGUAGGCGGUGGGGUAAGUUCGGAGUGAAAUCCGGGGGCUCAACUUCCGAAUUGCCUUUGAUACUGUUCGGCUAGAGAGCAGUUGCGGUAGGCGGAAUGUAUGGUGUAGCGGUGAAAUGCUUAGAGAUCAUACAGAACACCGAUUGCGAAGGCAGCUUAC